UACCAGACUCCUACGGGAGGCAGCAGUGAGGAAUAUUGGUCAAUGGGCGGGAGCCUGAACCAGCCAAGCCGCGUGAGGGAAGAAGGUACAGCGUAUCGUAAACCUCUUUUGUCAGGGAACAAAGGCGGGGACUAGUCCCCGGAUGAGGGUACCUGAAGAAAAAGCAUCGGCUAACUCCGUGCCAGCAGCCGCGGUAAUACAUAGGGAGCAAGCGUUAUCCGGAUUUAUUGGGUGUAAAGGGUGCGUAGACGGGAAAUUAAGUUAGUUGUGAAAUCCCUCGGCUUAACUGAGGAACUGCAACUAAAACUGAUUUUCUUGAGUACUGGAGAGGAAAGUGGAAUUCCUAGUGUAGCGGUGAAAUGCGUAGAUAUUAGGAGGAACACCAGUGGCGAAGGCGACUUUCUGGACAGUAACUGACGUUGAGGCACGAAAGUGUGGGGAGCAAACAGGAUUAGAUACCCCUGUAC
This 467-nucleotide ribosomal RNA is filed under the name uncultured bacterium. Its description in RNAcentral is "bacterial SSU rRNA". It matches the Rfam family "Bacterial small subunit ribosomal RNA", at positions 329 to 793 of the family's 1533-position model. The record is from RNAcentral.